GUGGCCGAAUGGUUACGCUGUCCGCUUUGUACGCGGAAGAUCAUGGGUUCGAUUCCCAUC
This 60-nucleotide transfer RNA is filed under the name Culex quinquefasciatus (southern house mosquito). It matches the Rfam family "tRNA", at positions 7 to 64 of the family's 71-position model. From Rfam's summary of the family: Transfer RNA (tRNA) molecules are approximately 80 nucleotides in length. Their secondary structure includes four short double-helical elements and three loops (D, anti-codon, and T loops). The record is from Rfam by way of RNAcentral. Lineage: Eukaryota; Metazoa; Arthropoda; Insecta; Diptera; Culicidae.